RNAcentral lists this unclassified non-coding RNA (2049 nucleotides) under Ooceraea biroi (clonal raider ant). RNAcentral describes it as "cdc42 homolog, transcript variant X3". Lineage: Eukaryota; Metazoa; Arthropoda; Insecta; Hymenoptera; Formicidae. The record is from RNAcentral.
UUUUGCACAUCUGCUUUGGCCGCGCUUUGGCUCGUCGCUGAUACACGGCCGCCGUCGGGAAAUUCGAUUCUGCGUGCGUCGCGCGUCGCUGCCGCCGCGCGAUCUCGCCGUAUGGAGAGACAGCAUUUGGAAGAAUUGAAAAUGCAGACAAUAAAGUGUGUUGUAGUGGGAGACGGGGCAGUUGGUAAAACUUGUUUAUUAAUCUCCUACACCACAAAUAAAUUUCCAUCGGAAUAUGUUCCAACAGUAUUUGACAAUUAUGCAGUCACUGUUAUGAUUGGCGGUGAACCAUAUACAUUAGGAUUAUUUGAUACAGCUGGUCAGGAAGACUACGAUCGUCUGCGUCCAUUAAGUUACCCACAAACUGAUGUAUUUCUUGUGUGCUUCUCAGUUGUAUCGCCGUCAUCGUUCGAAAACGUUAAAGAAAAGUGGGUACCAGAAAUAACGCAUCACUGUCAAAAAACGCCGUUUUUGUUGGUCGGUACGCAAAUUGAUUUACGAGACGAUGCGGCGACGAUCGAAAAGCUUGCGAAGAACAAGCAAAAAGCAAUUUCCGGUGAACAAGGAGAGAAGCUUGCUAAGGAAUUAAAAGCUGUAAAAUAUGUCGAAUGUAGCGCUCUUACACAGAAAGGACUUAAGAAUGUAUUUGAUGAGGCAAUAUUAGCGGCUUUGGAGCCUCCGGAACCUGUCAGAAGAAGAAGGUGUACCAUUUUGUAGGAGGUGUUUGGUUUUUUUUUAUAAAAAGAAUGUUAGUUCUACAGUGACUAAGACUGUGAGAACCAAUACUCGCCUCUUAACGUUCCGGACUCUUAAAAUCAAUACCUAAUAUAUAUAUAUUCCCACACUCGCUACAAGUGCAAAUAUUAGAUUAUCUAUCAAUUUAAUAGAUUUAAUUGUUCAACGAGCCAGUGAGUUUUGCGUUUCAGCUCACGGAAAGCGAUUAAAUGAGAAUUAUGAUAGAAUAUUAUACAACAUACAACAUUGCUAUUAUAUAGUCUCUGAAACAAGGAGGAAAGAAAAAAUUCUCUCUAUUGUGGGAUCAUGUGCAGAAGCACUGCACGAGCGCGUGUCUCUAUACAUAAUUAUAUUUUAUAAGAUCUGUAAAACUGUUUUGGUGGCCAUAUCGAUAUGUUAUCAUUAAAACAAAUAAUUAUGUUAAUAUAUAUUUUUGAUUAGUUUAAUGUAUGUCCUAUGUAUUGCGCAACUGAAUUCUUUAGUUAUAGUCCCGUACGAUUUAGUUAUGUGUAAGGUUCCUUAUAUGAAAAUUCUUAUAAAAUACAAAUAACUAUUAUUUCGAUAACUUGUACAAAAUACGUUACACUAAAGAUACAAUAGAAAAUAUCAGGAUUGGAUAAAUUUGUUUAAUGAUUGUAUUUUCUACAUUGAAAACUAAACAAUAGCCUAAAAAAAUGCGGAAUGUUUUGGUAUCAGGUAAAAGUCCACAGAUCGAGCAUGGAACCGCAGAUUUUUAUUGGCCGAUGCAUUUUGUCUAUACAAGAUCAUUUAAAUAAAUUUAGAUUUAUUCGAUUAUUAUUUCUACUCAGUUUUGUGUUAUUGUAAAUAUUCUCGUUUCUAUCGAGUUAAAUAUUGUAUUACAGUCUGCCAUAGAUUUUGUACGUCGGCUUAUCACUCGUAAGCAAAUGUGAUUUCGGACGGAGAUUAAAUAUGUUCACAAGGUAAUAAUAAAAAACUCUUAAGUAAAUGAAUUUUUUGGAUAUGUAAAGAAAUUUAUUUUGUUUAGGGAUGCUAAAAUAAGUUGGAUUAAUGAGAUAAGUUAAUGGUAAUUCGUACUAUAAUCAUACUGCGUAUAAAGUAUGAAUUAAAAAUUAAAUUUAGCAGGUAAUGUAUAAGUGUCCGAAAAUUCUUAUAAGAAUAUUAUAAGAUGUGCGCGCGUGCGUGAGUGCGUGUAUUAUUUGCCAAGAAGGAUAUUUAUACGUUUCUAUCAUAACUGAAAGAUGAGUUUUUUGUAUACAUUGAUAUUUGAGAGAGAGAGGAAGAAAGUCACUUUUGAUUCUAGAUUUAUAAGAAUAAAGAUAAUUUAAAAUACGA